UGGUAGCCAAAAUGUGAUGAAAAGGCAAUGACAUGUGCAUUUGAACCAACAUGCUUUAAAAUUUUUAAAGGACCAGCACUACAAGCUUGCAAUAUGACAUAAUCCCCAAUAUUAAAUUCAAAAUAUCGUUUAUGCGAAUCAGCUUGAAGUUUAUAUAAUGCAUUACUUACAUCAUGUUGUUUAUUGAUCUCAAUAUGCAAGUCAUGAAGAUGAUAUACAAAUGCUUCAGCUGACAACGACACACUAGCAU
Molecule: long non-coding RNA, 250 nt
Filed under: Olea europaea (common olive)
Lineage: Eukaryota; Viridiplantae; Streptophyta; Magnoliopsida; Lamiales; Oleaceae
Description: long non-coding RNA (OEUR_LNC000398)
Source: RNAcentral